GAUGAAGAACGCAGCGAAAUGCGAUACGUAAUGUGAAUUGCAAAUUCAGUGAAUCAUCGAGUCUUUGAACGCACAUUGCGCCCCCUGGUAUUCCGGGGGGCAUGCCUGUCCGAGCGUCAUUGCUGCCCUCAAGCACGGCUUGUGUGUUGGGCCCCGUCCUCCGAUCCCGGGGGACGGGCCCGAAAGGCAGCGACGGCACCGCGUCCGGUCCUCGAGCGUAUGGGGCUUUGUCACCCGCUCUGUAGGCCCGGCCGGCGCUUGCCGAUCAACCCAAAUUUUUAUCCAGGUUGACCUCGGAUCAGGUAGGGAUACCCGCUGAACUUAAGCAUAUCAAUAAGCGGAGGA
This 345-nucleotide unclassified non-coding RNA is filed under the name soil metagenome. RNAcentral's name for it is "partial contains 5.8S ribosomal RNA, internal transcribed spacer 2, and large subunit ribosomal RNA". The stretch from base 1 to 119 matches the Rfam family "5.8S ribosomal RNA", at positions 35 to 154 of the family's 154-position model. The record is from RNAcentral.